GGGGGGAAUAUUGGGCAAUGGGGGAAACCCUGACCCAGCAACGCCGCGUGAAGGAAGAAGGCCUUCGGGUUGUAAACUUCUGUGACAGGGGACGAAAGAAAUGACGGUACCCUGAGAGGAAGCUCCGGCAAACUACGUGCCAGCAGCCGCGGUAAUACGUAGGGAGCGAGCGUUGUCCGGAAUUACUGGGCGUAAAGGGCGCGUAGGCGGGCCUGUAAGUUGUAUGUGAAAUACCCGGGCUUAACCUGGGGGAUGCAUACAAAACUGUGGGUCUUGAGUGCGGUAGAGGAAAGUGGAAUUCCUAGUGUAGCGGUGAAAUGCGUAGAUAUUAGGAGGAACACCAGUGGCGAAGGCGACUUUCUGGGCCGUAACUGACGCUGAGGCGCGAAAGCGUGGGGAGCAAACAGGA
This 409-nucleotide ribosomal RNA is filed under the name uncultured bacterium. RNAcentral's name for it is "bacterial SSU rRNA". It matches the Rfam family "Bacterial small subunit ribosomal RNA", at positions 354 to 777 of the family's 1533-position model. The record is from RNAcentral.